UACGUAGGGGGCAAGCGUUGUCCGGAUUUAUUGGGCGUAAAGAGCGUGUAGGCGGCCAUACAGGUCAGCUGUGAAAACUCGAGGCUCAACCUCGAGACGUCGGUUGAAACCGUAUGGCUAGAGUCCGGAAGAGGAGAGUGGAAUUCCCGGUGUAGCGGCGAAAUGCGCAGAUAUCGGGAAGAACACCUAUGGCGAAGGCAGCUCUCUGGGACGGUACUGACGCUGAGACGCGAAAGCGUGGGGAGCGAACAGG
This 253-nucleotide ribosomal RNA is filed under the name uncultured bacterium. Its description in RNAcentral is "partial 16S ribosomal RNA". It matches the Rfam family "Bacterial small subunit ribosomal RNA", at positions 524 to 776 of the family's 1533-position model. The record is from RNAcentral.